AUUUUCUUAGUAUAGCAGUACAAAUGACUUCCAAUCAUUAAGCUUUGGUUAAAGCCCAAGAGAAAAUA
This 68-nucleotide transfer RNA is filed under the name Limnonectes kohchangae (Koh Chang wart frog). Its description in RNAcentral is "tRNA-Gly". It matches the Rfam family "tRNA". From Rfam's summary of the family: Transfer RNA (tRNA) molecules are approximately 80 nucleotides in length. Their secondary structure includes four short double-helical elements and three loops (D, anti-codon, and T loops). The record is from RNAcentral. Lineage: Eukaryota; Metazoa; Chordata; Amphibia; Anura; Dicroglossidae.